UAUCCGUAAAAAAGCCACAUAAACUCGAAUCAAUCCAGAUCCAGCCCACCCUUAUCGAACGAUAAAUACGCACUUCAUCGUCCAUCCCAAUCCAUUCAUUCCUUUGGCGUAUUAACACUUAUCCCUCCAACCCCAAUAUCCCUAUAUAUAUAUUAUCUCAUCUGGCCGGUACUCUGUCCUCAAACACAAACCGUUUUUCUCAAAUUCAGGCCUUUGUAUAAAUAAGCCAUUCUCGAUCCUUCCCCUUUCACUCUCUCCAUCUCCUCCUCUCUAGUCUCUUCAAACCAACAUCAACAUGGCCGACUUCGUAUCGGAUACCACCUGGCACAGUCCAAACAAGGAAAUGGAGGACUCAACAACCUUCGAUAUGAGUUCGCUCAGAACCAAUCUUCCUCAAAACAGAAAAGGGCUGUCGAGGUACUACUCGGGGAAAUCCCGAUCGUUCUCGUGUAUGGCUGGCGUUGAGUGUGUUGAAGAUCUGAAGAAGCAACAACUCAUCCCUGAUGCCAAGAGGAAGAAAUAUUCUGAGAGACAGAGACAGGGAUUGAUCUUUCCUCCGUUUUCAUGCCGAAGAAUAUCAAGUAGCAACCAAUGUGCUACGCCUUGUAUCGGUGCUUGAGAACCACGCCCAAGCAGGAAAAUAAACAAGCAACCUUUUUCAUCUUUUGUUCUUCUUCUUCUUCCUUUUUUUUUUUUUCUUCCUCCACAUUUUAGUCUUGAUGGGGGGGUUUUCUAUGUUGAAUCUUCUGUAAAUUAUUUAUGCCGGUUUCCAGAUAUACAGGUUAGAACAGCCAAUUAAUUUAGUGUUUUGUCUCACAGGAAUGUAGUUAUGAAAGGGUAAAAUUUAACCUGGUUUACAAAUUA
Molecule: long non-coding RNA, 864 nt
Organism: Nelumbo nucifera (sacred lotus)
Lineage: Eukaryota; Viridiplantae; Streptophyta; Magnoliopsida; Proteales; Nelumbonaceae
Source: RefSeq, a predicted model, not a curated record